GUGGGGGAUAUUGCACAAUGGAGGAAACUCUGAUGCAGCGACGCCGCGUGAGUGAAGAAGUAUUUCGGUAUGUAAAGCUCUAUCAGCAGGGAAGAUAAUGACAGUACCUGACUAAGAAGCCCCGGCUAACUACGUGCCAGCAGCCGCGGUAAUACGUAGGGGGCAAGCGUUAUCCGGAUUUACUGGGUGUAAAGGGAGCGUAGACGGAAUGGCAAGUCUGAAGUGAAAUCCUGCGGCUUAACUGCAGAAUUGCUUUGGAAACUGUCAAUCUGGAGUGUUGGAGAGGUAAGCGGAAUUCCUGGUGUAGCGGUGAAAUGCGUAGAUAUCAGGAAGAACACCGGAGGCGAAGGCGGCUUACUGGACAAUAACUGACGUUGAGGCUCGAAAGCUAGGGGAGCGAACGGGAUUAGAAACCCGGGUAGUCC
Molecule: ribosomal RNA, 425 nt
Filed under: uncultured bacterium
Lineage: Bacteria
Description: partial 16S ribosomal RNA
Rfam family: Bacterial small subunit ribosomal RNA
Source: RNAcentral